CUAACACUGUGAGAAGUAACAGGCCCCCAACCGCGACCACUCGCCAGACGGGACAAUCCCAACCGGACCCCCAGAACACCACGAUAAGGGGAGGGACACGAAAUGGGAAGUGUAAGACCAGCUGGUUAUAUACCUUAAAGCCACCAACUUACAAGCCACAACACGGCAACUUAACUCACCACCCUGUAACGUGGAGCUAGGGGAACAGGGGAGAGACUAGUAGGGUAGAGCCGACCCAAC
Pelobates cultripes (western spadefoot toad) is the source of this 240-nucleotide non-coding RNA. The record is from the annotation of a GenBank genome assembly. NCBI's taxonomy places the organism in Eukaryota, Metazoa, Chordata, Amphibia, Anura, Pelobatidae.